CGGCCGCGGUAUUUUGACCGUGCAAAGGUAGCGCAAUCACUUGUCUUUUAAAUAGAGACCUGUAUGAAUGGCUAAACGAGGGCUUAACUGUCUCCCCCUUCAAGUCAGUGAAAUUGAUCUAUCCGUGCAGAAGCGGGUAUAACUAUACAAGACGAGAAGACCCUUUGGAGCUUAAGGUACAAAAUUCAACCACGUCAAGCAACUUAAUAAAAAGCAAGAACCUAGUAGAAAAUGAAACUUUACCUUCGGUUGGGGCGACCACGGAGGAAAAACAAGCCUCCGAGUGGAAUGGGCUAAACCCCUAAAACCAAGAGAGACAUCUCUAAGCCACAGAACAUCUGACCAAAAAUGAUCCGGCUAAUUAAGCCGAUCAACGGACCAAGUUACCCUAGGGAUAACAGCGCAAUCCUCUCCCAGAGUCCAUAUCGACGAGGGGGUUUACGACCUCGAUGUUGGAUCAGGACAUCCUAAUGGUGCAGCCGCUAUUAAGGGUU
Molecule: ribosomal RNA, 494 nt
Filed under: Hypophthalmichthys molitrix (silver carp)
Lineage: Eukaryota; Metazoa; Chordata; Actinopteri; Cypriniformes; Xenocyprididae
Description: partial 16S ribosomal RNA
Rfam family: Bacterial large subunit ribosomal RNA
Source: RNAcentral